RNAcentral lists this ribosomal RNA (438 nucleotides) under Triticum aestivum (bread wheat). RNAcentral's name for it is "partial small subunit ribosomal RNA". The record is from RNAcentral. Lineage: Eukaryota; Viridiplantae; Streptophyta; Magnoliopsida; Poales; Poaceae.
AUGCCGCCAUGGUUCCAGAUUGGGCGCAGGUCGCCGUCGUGCGAGAGCAGGGCAGCGGGGUUUUCGCGGAGGAGUGGAGGGGGAGGAUGCGGACGACAGGGCGAAGGAGGUGGCUGGCGAGGAGGACAAGAAGCAGGGGGGAGGAGAAGGGGGAUGCCUCGCACACCAUCCUCCUCCCCGCGGCGGUUGGCUGGUCGACUCGUCGCGCCACCGCGUCCUCACCUCCUCUGCACCAUAGGAGGCGCUGCCUCUGCCUCCAUCCCUGCUUCGUGCUUCCUCCGUCCUUGGCACCACAGCUGCCGGUCCACUCCCUCCUCCUCCAUCCUCACUCCCUUGUCAGCCACCGUCGCACGAACCUCCCUCGUCUGGGCCGGGAAAGAAGGCCAUGGCGAAUCUUGCGCCUCUAGAAGCAGCAGCAGGGGUUGGUGGAGCGUCUAA